Molecule: transfer RNA, 72 nt
Filed under: Hyphomonas sp.
Lineage: Bacteria; Pseudomonadati; Pseudomonadota; Alphaproteobacteria; Hyphomonadales; Hyphomonadaceae
Description: tRNA-Ala
Rfam family: tRNA
About the family: Transfer RNA (tRNA) molecules are approximately 80 nucleotides in length. Their secondary structure includes four short double-helical elements and three loops (D, anti-codon, and T loops).
Source: RNAcentral
CCAUAGCUCAGUUGGGAGAGCGCUUGCAUGGCAUGCAAGAGGUCGUCGGUUCGAUUCCGUCUGGCUCCACCA